AUUGAACGCUGGCGGCAGGCCUAACACAUGCAAGUCGAACGGUAACAGGAAACAGCUUGCUGUUUCGCUGACGAGUGGCGGACGGGUGAGUCAUGUCUGGGAAACUGCCUGAUGGAGGGGGAUAACUACUGGAAACGGUAGCUAAUACCGCAUAACGUCGCAAGACCAAAGAGGGGGACCUUCGGGCCUCUUGCCAUCGGAUGUGCCCAGAUGGGAUUAGCUAGUAGGUGGGGUAACGGCUCACCUAGGCGACGAUCCCUAGCUGGUCUGAGAGGAUGACCAGCCACACUGGAACUGAGACACGGUCCAGACUCCUACGGGAGGCAGCAGUGGGGAAUAUUGCACAAUGGGCGCAGGCCUGAUGCAGCCAUGCCGCGUGUAUGAAGAAGGCCUUCGGGUUGUAAAGUACUUUCAGCGGGGAGGAAGGGAGUAAAGUUAAUACCUUUACUCAUUGACGUUACCCGCAGAAGAAGCACCGGCUAACUCCGUG
RNAcentral lists this ribosomal RNA (490 nucleotides) under uncultured bacterium. Its description in RNAcentral is "partial 16S ribosomal RNA". It matches the Rfam family "Bacterial small subunit ribosomal RNA", at positions 30 to 507 of the family's 1533-position model. The record is from RNAcentral.